Molecule: ribosomal RNA, 644 nt
Filed under: uncultured organism
Description: SSU rRNA
Rfam family: Eukaryotic small subunit ribosomal RNA
Source: RNAcentral
UAAAUCCCUUAACGAGGAACAAUUGGAGGGCAAGUCUGGUGCCAGCAGCCGCGGUAAUUCCAGCUCCAAUAGCGUAUAUUAAAGUUGUUGCAGUUAAAAAGCUCGUAGUUGGACCUUGGACCUGGACAGGCGGUCCGCCUCACGGCGAGUACUGUCUUGCUGGGUCUUUCCUCUUGGUGAUCUGUUGUUUCGGCAGCAGGGAACCAGGACCUUUACUUUGAAAAAAUUAGAGUGUUCUUAGCAGGCUCGACGCCGGAAUAUAUUAGCAUGGAAUAAUAAAAUAGGACGUGCGGUUCUAUUUUGUUGGUUUUUGGAAUCGCCGUAAUGAUUAAUAGGGACAGUCGGGGGCAUUAGUACUCACAUGCUAGAGGUGAAAUUCUUGGAUUUUGUGAAGACUAACUUCUGCGAAAGCAUUUGCCAAGGAUGUUUUCAUUAAUCAAGAACGAAGGUUAGGGUAUCGAAAACGAUUAGAUACCGUUGUAGUCUUAACAGUAAACUAUGCCGACUAGGGAUCGGUCGAUGUUAUCUUUUUGACUCGAUCGGCACCUUACGAGAAAUCAAAGUUUUUGGGUUCUGGGGGGAGUAUGGUCGCAAGGCUGAUACUUAAAGAAAUUGACAGAAGGGCACCACCAGGAGUGGAGCCU